Ornithorhynchus anatinus (platypus) is the source of this 425-nucleotide long non-coding RNA. RefSeq lists it as uncharacterized. The transcript has 2 exons. NCBI's taxonomy places the organism in Eukaryota, Metazoa, Chordata, Mammalia, Monotremata, Ornithorhynchidae. The record is from RefSeq and is a predicted model, not a curated record.
GGCGCGCUCCCGUGGGGCGGCAGGUGCACCGGCGCCUCUCGGCCGGCAGGUGGCGGUAAGGAAACGGCCGUUUGGCCGUUGCAUCCGACGGCUGGUCAUCGGGAAAUGGCACUCGGGAGUGGAGAGGCAUACAUCUUCUUUGGGGACAGUUGUGUCUGUGUAAUUUUCUGCGCAAGGCCAGGUUGGCUGAAAUCAGAAGAGGAAAAAUCACAAAGUGUUCUUUAGGAAGCUGGCUUUGUUGGUGUCUGGAGGAGGCGAAUUACAAAACAACAUAUUUGAUACAAGCUGCUGCCCUGAUGCUAUUUCAUCAAUUGCUGUUGGUUUCAGAAUUGCUCGGUAUAUGCUACAUCAUCCACUAAAGUAUUCACUGCACAUUAAGCAACGAUAAACAGGAAAACCAGCAAAGUAAAUCACUUCAAAGCUGA